GGAGGAUUAGCUCAGCUGGGAGAGCAUCUGCCUUACAAGCAGAGGGUUUCUCAAUCUCUA
RNAcentral lists this transfer RNA (60 nucleotides) under Bacillus licheniformis. RNAcentral's name for it is "tRNA-Val". It matches the Rfam family "tRNA". From Rfam's summary of the family: Transfer RNA (tRNA) molecules are approximately 80 nucleotides in length. Their secondary structure includes four short double-helical elements and three loops (D, anti-codon, and T loops). Lineage: Bacteria; Bacillati; Bacillota; Bacilli; Caryophanales; Bacillaceae. The record is from RNAcentral.